Molecule: long non-coding RNA, 461 nt
Filed under: Lynx pardinus (Iberian lynx)
Lineage: Eukaryota; Metazoa; Chordata; Mammalia; Carnivora; Felidae
Rfam family: Small nucleolar RNA SNORD107 (bases 1-73)
Source: RNAcentral
GGUUCAUGAUGACACAGGACCUUGUCUGAACAUAAUGAUUUUAAAAUUUGAGCUUAAAUGACACUCUGAAAUCUAGUCAAUGUGCCUCAGUAGACUUUACAGAGAACAUUAUUUUCAAUAGAAAAUUUUGGCUUACUGUGCAAACUUUGAAUACUUAGAAAUGGCAGGUGUAGCAGUAUACUUUGCCAGUUCCUUAGACAUCCUUUUUUUUUAAAAAUGUUUAUACAUAUUCUGAGCUCAUUAUUUUUUCCCUUUUUUUAAAACAUAUAUGCUGUUGAAAGCAAAAAAGGAAGCUCAUCCUUAGAUCCCAGAAGGUACAUGCAUAUGCUGAGAGGAAGCAAGGACAUGUAAACGGGAGACUACUACUUCUUGGAUCACACAUUGGAUGACAGAGAUGUUUAAGUGAUGAUGUCCAGGAAAAUGGGGAACUAAUAUUUAUGGAAAAUAUAUUAUGAAAUACA